Molecule: ribosomal RNA, 320 nt
Filed under: uncultured eukaryote
Lineage: Eukaryota
Description: partial 18S ribosomal RNA
Rfam family: Eukaryotic small subunit ribosomal RNA
Source: RNAcentral
CCCUUAGAUGUUCUGGGCUGCACGCGCGCUACACUGAUGCGUUCAACGAGUUUAUGACCUUGCCCGAUAGGGUUGGGUAAUCUUUUUAAAUCGCAUCGUGAUGGGGAUAGAUUAUUGCAAUUAUUAAUCUUCAACGAGGAAUUCCUAGUAAGCGCGAGUCAUCAGCUCGUGCUGAUUACGUCCCUGCCCUUUGUACACACCGCCCGUCGCUCCUACCGAUUGGGUGCUCCGGUGAAUUGUUUGGACUGCUGUCAGUCUUUUAGGCUGUUGGCGAGAAGCUCUGUGAACCUUAGCACCUAGAGGAAGGAGAAGUCGUAACA